GGGAACAGCACAGACGGCGUGGAGGCCUCCCCGGUGCAAACUCCGGCAGCCCCUACCACAUCCACCAAGCCCCCCCGAGAACAGUCAGUGGACGGCCCAGGUGCCGCGUGCCGGGACGACGAGCGCGGGCAGCAGAGAUGGCCCAGGUGGCAACAGAGAUGGCCCAGGUGGCAACAGAGACGGCCCAGGUGGCAACAGAGACGGCCCAGGUUCCGUGUGCCGGGGUUGGGAUUGCGGGCAACAGAGACGGGGCAGGUGCUGUGUGCCGGGGACAAGGCACAUGGGCAACAGAGACGGCCCAGGUGCCGUGUGCAGGGGGCAAGGCACGCGGGCAACAGAGACGGGGCAGACACAGGCUCCAAGCGCCAGCCCUGCCAUCCGCCAGCUCCUGGGCCUUGGCAAAGACGGCAGCACCACCUUAGCCCGGGAGCCAGAAACACAGAAUGUGACGCUCACGUACACAGAGAAGGCCAAGGUCACAGCACGAGAGGUGUCAAGGGAGGAGCAUGAGAGAUUAUCAAGAGAAGAAAAAGGGAGCUCGGAGCUCCGUAAGGUAGUGAGACGGAGUUCACCAGGGGACAGGAAAGCCAUGUAAUUAGGGUGAAGACACAGCGUUGAUAUGAACACUUUGAAAACUAGCAGGUUCGAGGCGGGGGGGAAGCGAGUUACAGAAGAGGAGCCGUGGUGAGGGCAGGGAGAGAGUGGCAGCAGCAGAUCAAACCCCGGAGCCCCUGCCCUGGGUGGGUGCCAGCUUCCCUGAGACAUUCCGUGCCUGUGACAUUGCUGUGUGCAGAGAUGAACGAGACGGGAAAAGCCACUGCACCCUGAAGAACUACAAUAUGGUGGGGGUGGCAGAUGCCAAUCAAUGACACAGAUACCUAUUUAACUAA
Molecule: long non-coding RNA, 890 nt
Filed under: Homo sapiens (human)
Lineage: Eukaryota; Metazoa; Chordata; Mammalia; Primates; Hominidae
Description: HSALNT0387936
Source: RNAcentral